Non-coding RNA from Bos taurus (domestic cattle), 69 nucleotides. NCBI's taxonomy places the organism in Eukaryota, Metazoa, Chordata, Mammalia, Artiodactyla, Bovidae. The record is from Rfam.
CCUGGUGGCUCAGAUGGUAAAGCGUCUGCCUACAAUGCAGGAGACCCAGGUUCAAUUCCUGGGUCAGGA